GAAGGUAGAAUUUGAACAACACCAAUCCCUUCAGAUCGGGUUUGAGAACCAUUGGCAGAAGUUAUAGUAGGUAAGAAACCGGAUGUAGAGAGGGAAGAGAAAAGAUUUUUAUUUGUAACCGAGAGAGAAGGUAGAAUUUGAACAACACCAAUCCCUUCAGAUCGGGUUUGAGAACCAUUGGCAGAAGUUAUAGUAGGUAAGAAACCGGAUGUAGAGAGGGAAGAGAAAA
This 229-nucleotide long non-coding RNA is filed under the name Lathyrus oleraceus (garden pea). RNAcentral's name for it is "Pisum sativum (pea) long non-coding RNA (PSAT_LNC023632)". The record is from RNAcentral. Lineage: Eukaryota; Viridiplantae; Streptophyta; Magnoliopsida; Fabales; Fabaceae.